GGCGUCAUAGCUCAGUUGGGAGAGCAGCAGACUGAAGUUGUACUUCUUCCUUGGAGAUUCGACAAUCUGAAGGUCCCGUGUUCAAGCCACGGUGAUGCCA
Molecule: non-coding RNA, 100 nt
Organism: Mycena vulgaris
Lineage: Eukaryota; Fungi; Basidiomycota; Agaricomycetes; Agaricales; Mycenaceae
Source: the annotation of a GenBank genome assembly